CCAACAAACACAUCGAACACAUUAAUUAUUGAUACAAUAGGAACAUAGUAGUACCUUAUCUCAAGCACAAAGUACAAAAAAAGUUGCAUUAUUGAUACAAUAGAAUGAGACUUUGUAACAUGUUUGAUGCUUCUACCGCAUCACCAUGUCCCAACAAGAACAGAGCUCUUUACAAGUCUCAGGGACCGUCUUUACUGAAAUCCUAUAGCACCAUAACAUCAACAGCAGAGAGAGAGAGAGAGAGAGAGAGAGAGAGAGAGAGAGAGAGGCUUAGCCUCCCUUUUGCCUAUAUGACUUGCCUCUGUAGCUUCAGUUCAUGUCUUCCUCCUCUAUCUCUGGGGAGCUAGAGGAUGACAAGCUCCUUAUGGAUCAGUUUCUUCCUCUUCCUCCGCAUCUUUAGAGAGGACGAAGUCAAAACAGGAACCAGUCGAGCUCAAGUUCCCAUUCCUUCUCUCUCUCUUCUUUGUCAUGAAUUCUACAUCCUCCACACACUCCUUAUACUUCUUCGCAUCAUAAAACGAUGGAUAUCAACUACUUUACAGCACCAAGACGCUCUCGCCGUGGAUUCGCGGAUCUCGUCACCCACUUGAUCUUGGAUAAUGGAUGACGAUGCGACGCUGAAAACAUGGUCAAGUUUUGUUUACUAAGCACGGGGAGCUGCGAUGGAGACCAUCGAAGCAGCACACAUGGCUCCCAUAACCAAAAGCUAAAGAUCAUUCGAGUCACAAAGUGCAGGUUUUGGAGGACAACGCGAGGUGGGAUGCUUUUAGAAAGCAAGGCGAGUGACGAUUAAUUAGAUAUCAGAAACAAGGUGGUGUGGGUGUAUGAUUGGAUAAGGUAGGAAAUUGCUUAUGAGCUUAAACCAAUAAAGACAUGCAACUAUAUAUGUGUUAUUAGCCACCAUGUACGAAGCUUGGUGAAGCAUCUUAUCCGAACUUGAUACAGCAGAAGCUAACAACUUACAGACUUCUAAUCGUUCAGCAUUGUAUAGACAUGUCUGAUUAGUUUCUCAAGCAGCAAUUUCUGUUCUGUACAUGAUUUAUAAGCAGGACGUUUAAUCUUCCAUAUUAUGUGAUUAGUUUCCCUAAUCUACAACCAAGUGGUCGUGCCGGAGUGGUUAUCGGGCAUGACUAGAAAUCAUGUGGGCUCUGCCCGCGCAGGUUCGAAUCCUGCCGACCACGUUUUUUUCUCUUCCUUUGUUAUAAGAAUUCCAAAAUACUUUUAUUAUUUUUACUGAAUAGUGCAAUUACUAAUUCUAGUUUUGACGCCACAUCAGCUCCAUGCAAUCAGCGGUCGAGGGUUUCCUAUGAUCCACAUGUCGACACCGUACGUCACGAGUGAGGUAGCAGCUGAUAAGCUUAACGUCGCCCUCUUCGUAUGCUGACCAAGCGCUGACUCCUCAGGGCCACCAUCCGCUCGACACGUGUCUCCACAGAGUUCCCAAUUACCGAUCGUUUCGCACGCCAUCGCUGUCGACGUACAACACCGUCUGCGAACGACAAUUUCCGCGUAAUAUUCUUUUAUAAAAUAAAUUAAUUUUAAUUUACCUGAAUUUAAAUAAAUUGCCCUCUUAAAAAAAUAAGAUUAUUUUUAAAAAUAAAAAAUAGCACUUCUUUAUAACAAAAAAAAUUAUUUUUUUACUCGAUUUUAUUUGCUACUUCUUAAAAUGUAUUAAUUGGAGAAAGGAACAAAAUUAAUGGAGUCUUAAUGAGAUUAAUAACGUGGCGUAACCUCCGGAUUAGGCUUGGGAUUUUAACUUAACCGCGGGGACUCGCUUCGCUUCACCACCAUCCUCCCCGCUCCGCGUUAAAAGGCCGUGCGGGAAGAAGAGAAAGGGAGGAGGGUGGACGCGAGUUGUAAAGAUCUCUCUCGCGCCUUGGUUCUCUUGCUUCCCUUCUUCCGCAGCAGCAUAUAAUGGUGGGAUCUUGGCCUGCUGCCUUUUAUCCGUGGCUUCGAUCAUGAGGGGGAUCUCGUAGGCCGUGAUGACGAGCUAGAUCUGGCGGCUCGGAGGUGGUCUAGAGCUGUCGCGUCGGAUCCGCCCGGUUCCAGAUGGUAUGGAUACAGAGUCUGGUGAAUGAGCUUUUACCUUGGAUUUGUGUGUUUUUAGCUGCAAAAAUAUUUCUGUCUUCCCUGUUGUGAGGUAUGGGUUGGACCAUGAUGUUGUUUCUGAUAUGGGCUGUAAUUGGGAACCUGUGGGGUCGAAUUGAGAUCUAGACAUGGGGAUUGGCGAGUUUGAUCGCCGAAAGUUUCGACCUUCGGCUUGCUAAUCUGACAUUGCUGGUUCCUCUGCCUUCUUAUGGUUCUACGGAAACCUAAUUGUUCCUUUUGUCUCACACUACGGAAGAGAGAAUACCGUUUGGGUUUUAAUAUUUUGACCGAACUAUUUCAUGCUGUAGCACAAAUUUGGAUUCGCAAAAUAUCGUCGCGUCGAAUGCUUUCUGCUCAUUUUUGGAGCUACUUCCAGUUCUUGUAAAAAGUAAGGGUUUUGCCGUCCCUCCACUUCCUAAACAAAAGUGAAGAGUGUCCUGAACUGAACUGCAAAACCGGUCGGAAAGAAUCAGUUCUGGACUCAGCUAAGGGGAUUUCAAGUAAAUGUAUAUGUGAAAUCAAGACUUUGGUUCUAGUUAUUCUAAUGUAUGUUGCAUAUGCUGCUACUGUCGCAGUGAUGCCUGAAAAUUAUCAUACUUAUGCAUCUGUUUCAUGAACCCAUGAUAGAUGUACAUGCCAAUCUUCCGAGAUGAUGGCAGUUUUGCUUGCUGUGAUUACAUGCCUUUUAAAGAUUAUGUUUAGCUUCAGAAGUUUCAUUAUUACGGAGCUUUGUCGCACUGGUGUGCUACUGUUUAGUCAUUUUAACCUAUAAAAUAGUCACUGCUUGUGUGAUGAAGGCUUGUAGUUGCCUACUGUCAUUCUGACAGUUUCUUGCUUCAAAAUUAUAAUGUUAGAAUCUUUAAGAUAGAUGAUACAUUGCUGCAGUAACCUUUACUUUUCUUACUUGUGCCAGUACAUUCGGCCUUAGUUUUUGGUUUUGUCAAAAUUAUGUUUAUCUAAUAGGUCUGCUUUUAACUUCAUUUUCAUAAAGUAUCCGGUGGUCCUUAAAUAUUUGCUAUAUUUUCUUAAAUUUAACAUCAUAGGAUAUAAUUGUUUAUUCUUUUACAUUUUAGUUCAUUGGUGCUAUUGACCUUCUUACAUUUCUUUUGGAUUUUUCAGAAAGCUAAGUUAACCAGACAAUUUUUUCAGCCUUCACCAUUCAGAAUGCUUUACUUCAUCACCUGUUGUCCCCCUGAUUAUGAGUCAAAAUUUGUAUACUUUUCACAGAACUACAAAUGCUUGUGAUUGGUGGUUCUAUUCUAACAUUGUUCUAUGUAACUAUGCCUAGACUAGUCUUCUAGAACUACUUUCUAGAUCCCUCUCAUUUUGCUUGCUUCUUAAUUUGUUUUCUUUUGAUGAUCCAGGAGACUGUCGAAAUGGAAAAGUGCCCAAUGAGACUUAAUACAACAAACCAAUUAUGUCAAGAUCCUAUGUCUGAAAAGAAGUCGAGGUUUUGGCAAAUCAAUGACCAACCAUUUCCUAGAUCUGAAGUUAUCUGUCCUCAACCUCGUUGGGUAACUAGGGUUCCUUAUUUCAUGGAAUAUUGCAAUAGAGUCGGUCCCAAUCCAAAAGGGUAUGUUUUUUUCUAAUUAUUUAGAAACAUUAAUUCCUUUCAUUUUCUUACCUGUAACAAGUUAACCGAGUUCCUCACUGAUAGCCCCAUAGGACAAGUUAAUUUGGUAAUGACAUCCAACAAGCAAAUUCUUUUUGGAUGACAAUAUGCUUUCAGUUCUGUGCCAAUCAAUUAUAUGCUUUGCGUCUGGAGUUUAACAGCAUUUUGGUAGCAUAAGAUGGAUAGUUUGGUACCCAUUUUCUCAUGCAAUAAUGAACCUUUUUAACCACUGUUAUUAUCUCUGCAGCGGAAAUGUUUAAAAUCAUCAAUUAUUUUUCUUUAUGGCAUCACUUUAUCACUUACUCCGAAUUAUUAUUGUUUUCCAGCAUUCUGCAAAUUCAUAGAGUGGAUUAUGCUUCUGAAACUCUUGAUCUUCUCCAAAGAAGGGUAAUGGUUUACAUUUGCAAUGUGAAUACGUAUUUUGGGAGAAAGUUUGUUUUUCAUUUAUCCUCUUUUAUGGUCCUAGUGACAAGUUUGUUGCUUAUUAGGAAUGCUCUGAGGGUGAUGGAGACUUGGGCAGCCAGGUGGGCCUUUUGUGUGGAUCACCUCCUGCACGCACUAACAAUCCCGUAGUCCGAGAUGCAGAGUUUGGCAAACAUAGCCAGUUCUUACCUUCCCCAAUUGGAGUCUCCCUCAGCAAGAAGCAGGCAGGGAGAGUCGAAAAAGGGUCUCCAAGCUGUGGUUCUUCCCCGGAAGUAAGAAUUGAAGGCUUUGCUUGUGGCAACUCAGAAUCCCACUGUGCUGUCCCUGCUCUUGCUUGACCUCUUCACAACUCAACCCGAUCUCGCCGUCUGUGAUAAUGUAUUGACCCUGCUUAAUCAUCAGUCUCUAGGAGAGUUUUGGUCCUGUACAUACCUGAGGUUUCUGUGUAUAUUUCCGACCUUAAAAGUAGUAUCUUGGAUGCUGGUGUCAGAUCCAAAGUUGUAAGUAAACCUUCUGAUAUUAUCCGAGUGUGAAUCUUACGAAGUCAACCGAUAAUUCUUCUCCUGAACAAACAUUUGUGAUUCAUAAUGAAUGAUUAGUUGUUGUGUCCUGAACUGGUAAACUUAUGAUCUGAUGAUAGGGACUGCGGAACAAUUAAGGUCUUAAAGCUGCUUUUGCAGCUUUGCCAUCCUUCAACUUGUGGCCACAUAUGGUAGCAGAUAUGAAGAGGGCUGUCAUGGUCACCAUUGAUACUGUCAUUUCCAUUGUCAUGAUUACAAUGCACUCACUAUUCUUUGUACCAUUGCAAAACAAGGUCACAAAAAAAGGAACAGGAUAGAUAAGAUUGGAUUGUAUCAGUCACUAGGAUGAACAAAUUACUCUUCAUCGAAUGGAAUCCAUCUAAAUUUGCUGUAACGAACGUAACGGUGAUUGAGGAUGGUGGGGCCAGAUGUGAUUUCCCCCGUCUUAAAGAGCCACGUGAGAUGGUGGUGAACGCCGAUCGUACGGUAUGGGUGACCGUAACGCGUAUGAAGGUGUUAAAGUAAGCGACUCCGCCCGACAAUCGUCCCCAAACCUUGGUUCCUCCCCGCAUGCAGAGAUGCUUUGCGGGGUCCACCGCUUCUGUGGCCUUACGUGUCACUGGGUGUCUGGGCGAGAAAGUUGUGGGUGCCGAAGAAAAAGGAACGUGAAACUUUGUACCACCAACGUGGACCGGUGGGAACGAACGAAGACCAUUCAGAGAUUAAGACGAUGAGAUACGCCUUAAAGACACUCUCAGGAGUCUCCCCCGAGAAACCACCCGAGAGAAGACACCGAUGCUGAUGAGGUCAUCAGCCACGGCUGCGAGAGCGUUCAGACGUGGCUUUCGUCUUUUUGGGAUCCGAACGCCUUAUUUGUCAUUCUUCGAAAUAAAUAAAAGUUGUAAUGAUACGAAAGCGAAAAAAGUACUAAUCGAACAAUGGCUUAACAGUUGUCAUAUCCGAGACAGAGUUCAGCAUUUUUAUCCACCAGAAAAAUAGAAUCAGCGUGCGAUCUCUUUCCAUCUGUGGGUCCCUUCAGUUGCAUGAUGGGGAAAUAUUGGAUCUUGUCGUUGUGCCACAACAGAAGAUCCUCACCAGGCGGGAAAGGACUCGGGGAACUCACGAAUUGGCCAAUAUAAAAAGUAGCCUCGGCGAAUGGCUUCUUAUUCUUUGUUAUUUUUGUGACGUUCGACUACCGGGGGAAAGCGAUCGGUGAUCUGCGCCCCUAAUUUUGCAGAUCUUCUCGCCUUUUCCUCGUCCUCCUCCGUCGCAAGAAAAGUUUCAAGGGUUCAUCUUCUUCUCCUGUUCGUCUCGAAUCGAUCGGUUCGUUCUUCUUGGGCCUCGGCUACGGCCGGAGGGGGAUUCCGCGACCAUUCCCGCGAGGUAAAGCCCCCGGAAAAUGACUCAUCCUUGGUCAAUGCUUCAAGAUCCGGUGCGAUCUAUACAUUCUUGUUUCAAUCGCUGACUCUAGAUUAUGGAUCUGGCUACUAAGCAUUUCCGCUUCGGUGCGGAUGAGGUAGAUAGGAUCCUAAUUUAUCGUCAAUUCAUGCGUUUGUUUGUCUGUCAGAUCUGGUGCUCGUGAUCGUAUCUUGAGCUGGAAGAUUACGUGACAGCAAAUAAGGUUCUCGAACGAUUUUCCUUUUCUUUCUCUUUUUCUUUUAUUUUGUUAAAGAAUCUCUUUGGGAAUAUAAUGUGUUUUUGUUUCUUCUUAGCCCAUGAAUUUUCUCAACACUAUCUGUAUCUUAUCAUUAUAAUUUGGAGCUUAUUUAUGCUGGGCGAUGGGUUUUCUACUCCCCGUCCUAUCGGAUGAUCGCUAAUCGCAGCUCCGUCAUCCAAUCUCGUGAAUUUAGGCUUGAUAGUUGGACAAGACAAAUGUCGUGGACUUUGUGCCUUCUUUCAAGGGAAUUAUGGUAUAGAAGACAAAGAGGAGGCUGGAAAAAGAAACUGUUGGUGUGUACCUACCAUGAGGAUUAACAUCUAAAAUAUGUUGCUUAUUCAGGGUUUAGAGAAUUUCUUUUAACAAAAGCUUGCAAUUGUUUGCUGAAGGGGAAAUUCAAUAGUAUAUGGGCUGCCUACAUUGUUCCUCCUCGUAACCCUACCUGUAGCAUCAUGCACCUAUUGCCUUUUUUUAUUGGAGAUAUUGCUAGCAAGGCAUAUCAGAAUUAUUAUCAAAGUCACUGGCUUACAAGGCGUGAUUCAUAAUGUACAGCAGUCAUACAUUAAAAGGCUAGUUAUGGAAGAACAAUGUACGGCAGGUGUGGUUUUUUUUUUUUCUAUGGAAUGGAAUUGGUAAAUUUUUGAAGUAUGGUCAUUUGUCUUAGAUAUAGGCAGACCUACUGUACCAUCGGGAAGUGGGAACCACAUAGACUUCUUGGAACACUUAGAAAACUUCAUUUUUUAUUGACCAGCGAAGUUCUCGGAGCUUUUCUUGACCACAUACCGUAUGAAGGCAUUACUUGGAAGUAUUUUUGCUGGAUUUUCAAUAAGACGGAGCAAACACUGCUUUAUCUGAAUCAUAGUUAUUAUCUGAGCCAUGCCCUUAAUUUCUAUCUUUGCAAUAUCAAUUUUCACAGUUCUGAGAUUCUAUGGAGAUAGUUGUUUUAACAAACUGGAGAGCAAUUGCUACGUGGCAAGCUGAGCAUUAAAAAAUUGCUAUAUUUAUCUAAACAGGAGAAUGAUUGCUAAAGAGUUAUGUGGCUCUAAUGCUAAUCACUCCCUGGGGAUUUUAAUAAAUAGAAAAGGAGUCUUGGAUAGCAGGGUUAAGGCAUUUAAAUAUUAUAGGAAACAUUUCAACUUUGCCUUUGGGAACAAGCUGUUGAACCUAGCCAUAUGUUUCUAAGUUGAACUUAUUCUAUAUCUUUUGUAUGUCAUUUGUUGUUACUGAAGUAUGGAAGAUAUGGCGGCUUUUUCUAAGAUAAAUAAGAUUCCAGUAAAUCAUAAACUAAUUUACUUUGUAGUCUUUUUGUUCUUUUUCUUAGUUACUUCUUUCAACCUGAAUUGUUGAUAUCAUAAUCUGAAAUGUUCAAGUCGAUAUUGUCCAUCAAUUUGUUAUGGAUUAUGUAUUUGGCAAAUUUUCUUAAAAUAAAUAUUAAAUGUUAUGCAGGUUGUGGAGUGGCAUAGCAUGUUUAAGCAAGAACCUUGAUAUUGCCAUCACAUGUUAUCUUUUCACAUUAUUUGUUCUUUCCAAUCAUUGGAUGUCUUUGUUAUUAUUCUCUGGCUAAUCUAAUAAUCUGAUGUUAUCCUUGACCCUUCUAGUGAUCAACUUAUACGCACUGCAUUCGUGGAUAACUUUGAUAUUUUCAGGAGUGCAGAACUUGAUUCAAUCAUUUCUACUGUAUAAAGAGUUUGCAUAUGCACUAUGGGCUUUGCCUACAGUUCGAGAAGACCUGAACGCCAAUGACUAAAACAAUGAUGUGCAAGAGUCGAUCUUCAAAAAAGUCUUGAACUGAUUUAUCUCGCUAUAGAAGAGCUCCUCAUCAUCAUUGAUCCAUGGGGGAGUGGAUUAUUGGAGCAUUUAUUAAUAUAAUUGGGAGUAUUACUAUAAACUUUGGGACUAACCUUCUAAAAUUGGGUCAUGAUCAGGUAUUUUUGUGUUACAUGUUCAUGCUUUCCUGUAACUUUACCAUUUCCUGUUAUUGUUUGCUCCAGUGUGAAAAUCCGCAGUCUUUUUCUCCUGUCAUAGCUUGUUGCGAAUAAAUACUGUACUACAUAGACUGUUACUUAAUGUACUAACAUGCCAAUUUUCUUCCUGUGGUGUGUGUCUCUGUGUUUGCAGCGAGAGAAGCAUUAUAUGCCUAGCUGUGAUGGAACCAAUAGCAAAGUUAAUGUGAAAUCAAUUAUACAUUUCCAGACCUGGAGAAUUGGUGAUACUUUACAUUGUGAUAUCUUCUAUUUUGAAAAAAUUAUAUUUUAGCUGAUCUAAUGGUGUACCUUCUAAUGCAGGCAUUCUUUUGUUUGUUUUCGGGAACUGCCUCAACUUUGUUUCCUUUGCAUAUGCUGCACAGGUCAAGUUAAAUAUUUUGGUUUUGUUCAUGAGUUACUGAUGGAAUAUAUCAUCUAGUAUAAAAUGUUAAUCUUGAUAUAAUGUGCCUUUCAUGGGCUUUCACUACUCAAAUCUGGAUUCGGCAAGAGCAUUAUUCACAAACAUGUAUGUUACUGUUGUAAAUGUGAUGUACACUGUUUUUUUGUUGGCAUUUUGUCCACGAUGAUAGUGAUGGGAAGUAGAAAUUUGUGUCACCCAGGAUUUGAAUGUAUUCUUGGAUUAAUCCAUUUAUCUCUUCAAGAAUUCUUUGAUUCUUAAUGUAUUGGCUAUGUUCACAAUGAUUCAGGGCAUUAAGUGCUCUUGAUUGGCUAGUCAAUGACUACCUACCUAUUAGAUCAAAGUUUAAGUUCUUAAGGCUUUACGUAUCACCAUCGUGUUAAGAAAUUUGUGGGUAAUUCACGGUCCAAAAUUUAGGGAUGGUUCACAGGGUGGGAAAUGCUUUUAAAAUUUGGUUUUUAUUUUUGAGGAUUGUAUAAUCAUGACCAGUUCGAUUAGUUUUUUCCCUGACUAGGCUAUUUUGUGUUUUGCGAUUGCAGUCACUUCUUGCAGCAUUGGGAUCAAUUCAGUUCAUAUCUAAUAUUGCAUUUGCUUACUUUGUGCUCAGUAAGACAGUGUCAGUCAAGUAAGUCAUUUCAGAAUUGACAUUGUUUUAAAAAGGACAUAUGCUUAAUGCAGAAAUAUGAUUUCAUAUGACAACUUGUUUUGCAGGGUCAUGGUAGCAACAACUUUUAUUGUUUUUGGCAACAUUUUCUUAGUGUCUUUUGGAAACCACCAGUCACCUGGUAUUAACAUCAACCUAAUUGAGGGAAGGAAUAGUUAAUAAUCAACUAAAUGAUAUUUCUUUUUUCAUUGCAGUAUAUACACCAGAGGAGUUGAUUGCAAAAUACAGCAGCAUGGUUUUUCUUCUCUAUUGCUUGACUUUGUUAUUGAUAGUUGGUGUUAACCAGUACUUUUACAGGUGAGCAGACUAAUAGUUUCUAAAAUUGUUAGCACGUCGAGCCAGCUUAUUUUUGGGUGUUAGAAGCCAGCCUCCUUGUUUGUCUUAUCCUUGUCAUCCAAUCCCUCUGCAACAAAUUAUAGUUAUCCUAAUUACUAUAACAAUCAGGACAGGAGAAGCAUAUCUUUCAGUUUCUGAUCCAGUGAGUUCCUAUUGGCGGACUUUGCUUCCAUUUUCUUAUGCCACUGUUUCUGGUGCUGUGGGUUCUUGCUCAGUGUUAUUUGCAAAAUCCUUGUAAGUUGGCAUCUUAAGAAUUUCAUUCCUUGUUUCUGCAAGAUAAGCUGCAAUAUUUUUUAAUUGAUCUCUAUGCAUACUUUUGAUUUCUUCUAUUUAUAUAUUUGAUGUGUACACUUUCCAGAUCUAAUAUGCUAAGACUGACCAUGAGCAGCAACUAUCAGUUCCAUAGCUGGUUUACAUAUUGUAUGCUGUUGUUGUUCUUUAGCACGGCAGGAUUUUGGGUAAUGAUGUCAACAAAGCCCCAAGUAAACUGUACCUUGAGACUUCCUUACUCUGAGAUGUCUGAUAUAGCUUUUCUUAAAUUCCAGAUGGCAAGACUGAAUGAAGGGUUGUCUCUUUUCGAUGCAAUCCUCAUUGUUCCCAUGUUUCAGAUUGCAUGGACCUUCUUCUCUAUCUUUACAGGAUUUGUGUAUUUUCAAGAAUAUCAAGUGAGCCUUAUCCAUAGAAAUCUAUGUGUAUAUAUAUAUAUAUAUAUAUAUAUAUUCAUUAAAUGAAGCUAACUUAAGUGCUUUAACAGGUAUUUAACACAUUAAGAAUAACUAUGUUUGUAGUGGGGAUGACAUUUGUAUUUAUUGGCAUUUCUUUAUUAGCACCUGAUGAUUCUAAAGGUACCUACAGAUCGUUAAUGGUUCUUCUUUUUAUGCAUCAUUAAUGUUAACUAAAGUAAUUUUGCCAACAACUUUUAGGAAGUGAAACAAAGGAUUCUUCUUUGCCUUCUUCAGCUCAAGACCUUCCAACUGAUAUGAACAGGUACUUGCCAUCCCCUCUCUAUCUUGUUGCUUGUCAUAAAAUUGAUGUUCCAUUAACUGUACGAUAUUAAAUAUUAAUUUGUACAUUACUUCAAAUUACAUGUUGGCUUUCUCUGGAUUCACACGUUUCAUAUAUUGAGAUGAUUUCCAUUUGAAGUUAUUAAGCAAUUAUGGUGAUGUAUAUAAUCUACUCUAGCUGAUAUAUAGUGUUGAUAGCUGGAACUGCAGGGGCGCCAUGCUACUACCAUUAGAAGAUCCUGAAAUAAGUGAUGUGAGGUCACUUGCACAAGCAGUGCUUACUAAAGUGAAGUUUAUUCUGUUGAAGGCAAAGGUACUUUGGCUUUGUAAAUUUUCUUUUGAGAAAACAAUGAGACGGUAUUAUUACUAUAUAAGAUAUUUUGUUAGCAUUUUCUAAUGUUCCUCUUGCAGGCUGCUGGUUCUCUCUCACUCGGUCUUGGUGAGGAGUCAAUUAGCGCAUCUUCGGUACUUGUAAUGCCUAUGGUGUCUUCAAGAACAACAGGUUUCAGAGGAACUAAUUAUGAUCGAGCAAAGUUCAUUCCUCUUAGAAACACAGAAUGGGGUAAACUUUCAAUAGAUGAUAACGAUCCAGAAACGAGGGACACGAGGACUUUGCUGCCUUAAUUUUGCCGGUGUGGGGGGACCGGUGGAAGCGAAUCUUGUUGUUCCUUGAAAUGUUUCUUUCAUUAUCUCCUUGUAACAUGAAUGUAUAGAUAUAUUAAUCUUCCCCCUUUUAACUGUCUAGUGUGUAACGAGAAUGAUCUGUGGUCGGAUACUGUUUCAAAAUGUGUUGUGCCCAAUUUGGCAUUCAGAUUCAUAUGCUGAUUUAACAGAACUGUGGCUUUUCUUCUCUGAACUGCCUAAAAAGUCAAAUCGAUAGAUUGGUCAGAUGAGGUUGAGCACCAUCCAAAUUUAUUCUUUAAGCGCCAUACCACUACUGCUAGAAUUACUCGUGUGCUUCUUUUAUUCUGUAUUGUUUGUACUAAAAUACUUCAUGGCUGCUAUGUACGUAACUGUGCAGGCGCGAUAUGUGAUUUUGCUUAAUCUCUAUCUCCAAGUGCUUGAUCGUUAGAAAUGGCUUGUCAACAAGUAGGCAAAAUUACUGUAUAUCAUAAGAUUAAUAUUCCAUGCGAAAUAUGAAGAAUCCAGUAAGAUAAUUUAAACUAAUAUUUACUAUCAUACAUAAUGCGGAGAUUUAAGAAAAUUAUGGACGAUAUAGGCAGAUAUUUAUCAUCAUAUAAAAGGCACGGAGAAAAAGCAAUAGCAAUAAAGGCUACCUCAGAGACAUUACAAUCAUCAGUGCACUCAAAGAGCGCAAAGAAACGUUGCAAAGGAAAAAGAUGGAUCAGAUAUUUCGGUCUGUGGAUGACCACCAAAGCAACCAAAUAAUUCAAAAGAACCUACUAUUACAACUGUCCUUUGCGGCAAACGACGACGACUCCUCCACGCCUUGGUUUCUUUCACAUGCCAUGGUUGCUUUCUUCCACUUUUUUUCCUGCUUUUUUGAGCUUUCACUUUCCUGGUUGCUCACUUCACUACUUAGCUAUUAAGUUUUCUUUCUUUAGUCUCAGUCAAGUGCAUAGACGUUGCCUCGAUCCUCUAUAAAAACCCAUGUCAUCCCUCGAGACAAAGCCCAUGCAAAAACAGUCACUUGCGACACUCUCUAAUGUUUCCUUCCCUUGGUUCUUAUUCCAAACGCUACUACUCUCUUCUUCCUCCCCA
This 12409-nucleotide long non-coding RNA is filed under the name Musa acuminata (dwarf banana). RNAcentral describes it as "long non-coding RNA (MACU_LNC005998)". The stretch from base 1100 to 1181 matches the Rfam family "tRNA". The record is from RNAcentral. Lineage: Eukaryota; Viridiplantae; Streptophyta; Magnoliopsida; Zingiberales; Musaceae.